RNAcentral lists this transfer RNA (72 nucleotides) under Marmota monax (woodchuck). RNAcentral describes it as "tRNA.Thr". Lineage: Eukaryota; Metazoa; Chordata; Mammalia; Rodentia; Sciuridae. The record is from RNAcentral.
CCAGGUGUGGUUCAGCGGGACAGUGCUGGCCCAGUGUGAGCGAGACCCUGGGUUCCAUCCCCAGCACCAGGA